Physeter macrocephalus (sperm whale) is the source of this 738-nucleotide long non-coding RNA. RefSeq lists it as uncharacterized. NCBI's taxonomy places the organism in Eukaryota, Metazoa, Chordata, Mammalia, Artiodactyla, Physeteridae. The transcript has 3 exons. The record is from RefSeq and is a predicted model, not a curated record.
CAGAGCAGCCAAUCAGAUCUCAAGUUGCUCAAAUUUCAGAAGCUAAAUAUACUGAGUGAUCUUCUGAAAACCACCUGUUCAUCAAUUCCACUAAAGGAUAAAGGCUCUGUUUAAUACCAUAUUCAUGCAAAAGAAUUUAGAAGAAAAUCAGCAUGACUUUGAGGGGCUUUCACCCUUCUGCAACUGCUUUCUUCCUGUCAAUUUUCCAAUCUUCAUGGAGAUAACUAUGCUUGCUCAUAUACAGUUCACCAGAUGAGCCACAGGUUUUAUGACCAAGGAAUAUUUGUGUGGAUUAUGAGAUCAUUCACCUGGCAGCUGCAAACUAGAAGAAUUAUGACUUACUAUUCAUUAUGUGCUUUUUAAAAGAUGGUGUUAAAUUGAAAAAUAAAAAAAAUAUGUAGUAUAAAAAUAUAUAAAGUAAAAAAUAGGCAUAGAUUAAUGCUUAUCUGGAGUUAUGCCCUCGAGACGAAAGAGCACCUCUAUUUUUCUGGCCUAUCAACGGCCUCUUAUGUGGAAAAAGAAUCAAUUGACACCUUGAUCUAUUGGUAGCUUCUUAUCAUAUGCCUUACACAUAGUAAGUGCUCAAUAAAUGUUAGCUAUUAUUAUUUUUAUUAUUAUUAUUAUUAUUAUUAUUUUUUUUUUUUUUUUGGUGGUAUGCGGGCCUUCCUCUGUUGUGGCCUCUCCUGUUGCGGAGCACAGGCUCCGGACGCGCAGGCUCAGCGGCCAUGGCUCACGGGC